AGAACGAACGCUGGCGGCAUGCCUAACACAUGCAAGUCGAACGAGACCUUCGGGUCUAGUGGCGCACGGGUGCGUAACGCGUGGGAACCUGCCCUUAGGUUCGGAAUAACUCCUCGAAAGGGGUGCUAAUACCGGAUGAUGUCUUCGGACCAAAGAUUUAUCGCCUAUGGAUGGGCCCGCGUUGGAUUAGCUAGUUGGUGAGGUAAAGGCUCACCAAGGCGACGAUCCAUAGCUGGUCUUAGAGGAUGAUCAGCCACACUGGGACUGAGACACGGCCCAGACCUCCGUACGGGGAGGCAGCAGGUGGGGAAUUAG
RNAcentral lists this ribosomal RNA (315 nucleotides) under uncultured soil bacterium. Its description in RNAcentral is "bacterial SSU rRNA". It matches the Rfam family "Bacterial small subunit ribosomal RNA", at positions 26 to 365 of the family's 1533-position model. The record is from RNAcentral.